This 69-nucleotide antisense RNA is filed under the name Umezawaea tangerina. RNAcentral's name for it is "ASpks TB sRNA". It matches the Rfam family "ASpks TB sRNA". The record is from Rfam by way of RNAcentral. Lineage: Bacteria; Bacillati; Actinomycetota; Actinomycetes; Pseudonocardiales; Pseudonocardiaceae.
CUUGACCGACCCCAGCCACAGCGGGCGGUCGCGGUCCUGGCCGUAGGUCGCCUGCAACGCCUGCGCCUC